GACGAACGCUGGCGGCGUGCUUAACACAUGCAAGUCGUACGGUAAGGCCCUUUCGGGGGUACACGAGUGGCGAACGGGUGAGUAACACGUGAGUAACCUGCCACCACUUUGGGAUAACGCCAGGAAAAUGGUGCUAAUAACUGAUAUGUGCUCCUGCUGCAUUGUGGGGGGUGGGAAGCUCCGGCGGUUGUGGAUGGACUCGCGGCCUAUCAGCUUGUUGGUGGGGUAGUGGCCUACCAAGGCGGCGAACGGGUGGCGGCCUGGGAGGGUGACCGGCCACAUUGGGACUGAGAUACGGCCCAGACUCCUACGGGAGGCAGCAGUGGGGAAUAUUGCACAAUGGGCGCAAGCCUGAUGCAGCAACGCCGCGUGCGGGAUGACGGCCUUCGGGUUGUAAACCGCUUUCAGCAGGGACGAAGCUUUUUGUGACGGUACCUGCAGAAGAAGCACCGGCUAACUACGUG
RNAcentral lists this ribosomal RNA (464 nucleotides) under uncultured bacterium. RNAcentral's name for it is "partial 16S ribosomal RNA". It matches the Rfam family "Bacterial small subunit ribosomal RNA", at positions 28 to 507 of the family's 1533-position model. The record is from RNAcentral.